CUAUCAUUUGAAGAUUUUUCACGUCUUAAUGUUUUCUCAUGAGUCAGACAGGAGGAUUUUAAGAUUUGCUGGUGAUUGGCCAUCUCCACUUGGAAAACACUAUUUGAAGAGAGAGGUUAUUUCAUGAAAGCAAAAGCGGGAUGGAGGGGAAGAUUGACCUAUGUGAUAUUCAUUCCCCUCGAUUAAUUUUAUUUUCUGAAAAUUGGCUCAAACUAUCUGACUUACAUGUACACUAUAUUGCCUCUUGAUUUUGUGACUUUUCUAUGCAAGCUAUUAUUGUCUAAACAGAUGCGUUAUUUAUGCUAGGCUUUUUGAGACAAUCGUCAAUGGGAGAAGCUGCUAAUGAAUUCCUUUAUAGUGCUUUGGACGUGAACUCAUGGUGGUGAUUGAUUUCAAAUGAAAAUUUUCAAGCUGAAAUUAAGUACACAAGCAGCUAAAUUUUGUUUCCAUGAUUUUAUUGUACUUCUCUGAUAUUUUUUUCAUGAUUGCCGAUUGCAGCUUCGACUGUCAUAAAAAUUACGAUGCUCUUCCCAGGGUUCUUGCAAUCUUCACUUUCAGCUUGAGUUGUUAGCCUUCAAAAUUCUUGGAAUAAGAAAA
This is a long non-coding RNA of Lolium rigidum, 597 nucleotides long. RefSeq lists it as uncharacterized. The transcript is spliced from 3 exons. Lineage: Eukaryota; Viridiplantae; Streptophyta; Magnoliopsida; Poales; Poaceae. The record is from RefSeq and is a predicted model, not a curated record.